UACGUAGGGGGCUAGCGUUGUCCGGAAUCAUUGGGCGUAAAGCGCGUGUAGGCGGUUCGGUAAGUCUGCUGUGAAAGUCGGGGGCUCAACCCUCGAAUGCCGGUGGAUACUGUCGGACUAGAGUGCGGAAGGGGCGAGUGGAAUUCCUGGUGUAGCGGUGAAAUGCGCAGAUAUCAGGAGGAACACCGAUGGCGAAGGCAGGUCUCUGGGCAUUAACUGACGCUGAGGAGCGAAAGCAUGGGGAGCGAACAGG
Molecule: ribosomal RNA, 253 nt
Filed under: uncultured bacterium
Lineage: Bacteria
Description: partial 16S ribosomal RNA
Rfam family: Bacterial small subunit ribosomal RNA
Source: RNAcentral